GAUUAACGCUGGCGGCGUGCAUAACACAUGCAAGUCGAACGAUGAAACUUCAAAGAUCCCUUCGGGGUGAAUUGAAAUGGAUUAGUGGCGAACGGGUGAGUAACGCGUGAGUAACCUGCCUUACACAAGGGGAUAGCCUCUGGAAACGGAGAAUAAUACCCUAUGAAACCAGACAAUCGCAUGAUAAUCUGGUCAAAAUGUUUAGUGGUGUAAGAUGGACUUGCGUCUGAUUAGCUAGUUGGUGAGAUAACAGCUCACCAAGGCAACGAUCAGUAGCCGGCUUGAGAGAGUGUACGGCCACAUUGGGGACUGAGACACGGCCCAGACUCCUACGGGAGGCAGCAGUGGGGAAUUUUGCACAAUGGGGGAAACCCUGAUGCAGCGACGCCGCGUGAUUUAGAAGGCCUUCGGG
RNAcentral lists this ribosomal RNA (412 nucleotides) under uncultured bacterium. RNAcentral describes it as "bacterial SSU rRNA". It matches the Rfam family "Bacterial small subunit ribosomal RNA", at positions 28 to 422 of the family's 1533-position model. The record is from RNAcentral.